GACGAACGCUGGCGGCGUGCUUAACACAUGCAAGUCGAACGGACAGGCCCUGCUUUUGUGGGGUGCUCGAGUGGCGCACGGGUGAGUAACACGUGAGUAACCUGCCCUUGACUUUGGGAUAACUUCAGGGAACUGCGGCUAAUACCGGAUAGGAGCUCCUGCUGCAUGGUGGGGGUUGGAAAGUUUCGGCGGUUGGGGCUGGACUCGCGGCUUAUCAGCUUGUUGGUGGGGUAGUGGUUUACCAAGGCUUUGACGGGUAGCCGGCCUGAGAGGGUGACCGGCCACAUGGGGACUGAGAGACGGACCAGAAUCCUACGGGAGGCAGCAGUGGGGAAUAUGGCACAGUGGGCGGAAGCCUGAUGCAGCAACGCCGCGUGCGGGAUGACGGCUUUCUGGUGGUAAACCGCUUUCGCCUUAGACGAGGCGGGAGUGACGGUAAUGGGUAAAGAAGCACCGGCUAACUACGUG
RNAcentral lists this ribosomal RNA (468 nucleotides) under uncultured bacterium. RNAcentral's name for it is "partial 16S ribosomal RNA". It matches the Rfam family "Bacterial small subunit ribosomal RNA", at positions 28 to 507 of the family's 1533-position model. The record is from RNAcentral.